Molecule: transfer RNA, 72 nt
Filed under: Camelus dromedarius (Arabian camel)
Lineage: Eukaryota; Metazoa; Chordata; Mammalia; Artiodactyla; Camelidae
Also listed under: 1 other name
Rfam family: tRNA
About the family: Transfer RNA (tRNA) molecules are approximately 80 nucleotides in length. Their secondary structure includes four short double-helical elements and three loops (D, anti-codon, and T loops). Further hydrogen bonds mediate the characteristic L-shaped molecular structure. tRNAs have two regions of fundamental functional importance: the anti-codon, which is responsible for specific mRNA codon recognition, and the 3' end, to which the tRNAs corresponding amino acid is attached (by aminoacyl-tRNA synthetases). tRNAs cope with the degeneracy of the genetic code in two manners: having more than one tRNA (with a specific anti-codon) for a particular amino acid; and 'wobble' base-pairing, i.e. permitting non-standard base-pairing at the 3rd anti-codon position.
Source: Rfam by way of RNAcentral
GGCUGUAUGGCUCAAUGGUAGAGCGCAUGCUUAGCAUGCACAAGGUCCUGGGUUCAAUCUCCAGUACCUCCA